GACGAACGCUGGCGGCGUGCUUAACACAUGCAAGUCGUACGGUAAGGCCCUUUCGGGGGUCCACGAGUGGCGCACGGGUGAGUAACACGAGAGUAACCUUCCCACAACUUUGGGAUAACGCUAGGAAACUGGAGCUAAUACUGGAUAUGUGCUCCUGCUGCAUGGUGGGGGUUGGAAAGCUCCGGCGGUUGUGGAUGGACUCGCGGCCUAUCAGCUUGUUGGUGGGGUAGUGGCCUACCAAGGCGGCGGCGGGUAGCCGGCCUGAGAGGGUGACCGGCCACAUUGGGACUGAGAUACGGCCCAGACUCCUACGGGUGGCAGCAGUGGGGAAUAUUGAACAAUGGGCGCAAGCCUGAUGCAGCAACGCCGCGUGCGGGAUGACGGCCUUAGGGUUGUAAACCGAUUUCAGCAGGGACGAAGCUUUUUGUGACGGUACCUGCAGAAGAAGCACCGGCUAACUACGUG
This 465-nucleotide ribosomal RNA is filed under the name uncultured bacterium. Its description in RNAcentral is "partial 16S ribosomal RNA". It matches the Rfam family "Bacterial small subunit ribosomal RNA", at positions 28 to 507 of the family's 1533-position model. The record is from RNAcentral.